This is a non-coding RNA of Ictidomys tridecemlineatus (thirteen-lined ground squirrel), 73 nucleotides long. The record is from Rfam. NCBI's taxonomy places the organism in Eukaryota, Metazoa, Chordata, Mammalia, Rodentia, Sciuridae.
GCGGUUGUAGCUCAAGUGGUAAGAGUGCUUGCCUCGCAUGCAUGAGGCACUGGGUUCGAUUCUCAGCACCACA